This is a non-coding RNA of Salvelinus sp. IW2-2015, 540 nucleotides long. NCBI's taxonomy places the organism in Eukaryota, Metazoa, Chordata, Actinopteri, Salmoniformes, Salmonidae. The record is from RefSeq and is a predicted model, not a curated record.
AUGCACCUGACAUGUGUAAACAAAUUAAAAUGUUGUGACAUUAAUUUGACGCACAAAUUCACACAACAUGAUACACCCCUCUAUUCAUGCUUGGUCCAGUACCCUUCAGUGGCCUCACGCACGCACACACUCGCCAAAGCAUAAAACAUUUKAUAUAAAUUGGCUUAAGACCCACUCCAAUGAAAAUGCUUUGUUUUUCCUUUGCAGUAUGAAACGAGCUGCCUCUCUGAACUAUUUGAACAAGAGCAGUGAUGACGACGACUCCUUUCAGAGUCCAGCAGGUGACAGGAGGCUAAGGCAGAGCAGGAACCUGAGUUCCAGUACUGUUGACCUCUACAGUGGAACUGGAAACUGAACCCACACACUCCCAACAGUUUUUCCAAAUAUGAUGUUUAAUUUUCACUUGUGCCAUUCUGAACCUAAAUUCUGUAGUUUCCAUUCCUACAUUUAAACACUGUUUAAUGUUAUUGCUGCUUUCUAGACAUUGUACAAAUUUUGUAGACUUUCUGUAGAAUUCAAAAAAUAUAUUGUAAAAAUGUG